Roseburia sp. CAG:45 is the source of this 165-nucleotide regulatory RNA element. NCBI's taxonomy places the organism in Bacteria, Bacillati, Bacillota, Clostridia, Lachnospirales, Lachnospiraceae. The record is from Rfam.
UGAUAAAGGCUGUUAGGGACACUGGGAAUUUCGUCAGGAAACAGGCAACGCUGGUACAGGGAUGUACCAGCGAGGCACAAGUGAACAUGGAUGUGAAUUUGUGCCGGUUGCCGGAUGAAAUUAAUAUGAUAGCGAAAUUCCCAGUGUCCCUUGCAGGCAUUAUGU